Molecule: ribosomal RNA, 494 nt
Filed under: uncultured bacterium
Lineage: Bacteria
Description: partial 16S ribosomal RNA
Rfam family: Bacterial small subunit ribosomal RNA
Source: RNAcentral
GACGAACGCUGGCGGCGUGCUUAACACAUGCAAGUCGAACGGUGAAGCGCCUUCCUUUUUGGUGGGUGUGGAUGAGCGGCGAACGGGUGAGUAACACGUGAGUAACCUGCCCCCUUCUUCUGGACAACCGCAUGAAAGUGUGGCUAAUACGGGAUAUUCUGGGUCUGUCGCAUGAUGGGUCUGGGAAAGAUAUUGUUUCGGUGGGGGAUGGGCUCGCGGCCUAUCAGUUGGUUGGUGGGGUGAUGGCCUACCAAGGCGGUGACGGGUGGCCGGCGUGGGAGGGUGGCCGGCCACGCAGGGAGUGAGGCACGGGCCAGACUCCGACGGGAGGCAGCGGGGGGCAAUAGUGAACGAUGGGAGCCAGCCUGAUGCAGCGACGCCGCGUGAGGAAUGGUGGCCUUCGGGUUGUGAACCUCUUUCGCCAGUGAAGCGGGCCUGCCUCGUUUGUGGGUGGGUUGACGGUAGCUGGAUAAGAAGCGCCGGCUAACUACGUG